Molecule: ribosomal RNA, 598 nt
Filed under: uncultured bacterium
Lineage: Bacteria
Description: bacterial SSU rRNA
Rfam family: Bacterial small subunit ribosomal RNA
Source: RNAcentral
CCUACGGGAGGCAGCAGUGGGGAAUAUUGCACAAUGGGCGCAAGCCUGAUGCAGCAACGCCGCGUGAGGGACGACGGCCUUCGGGUUGUAAACCUCUUUUAGUAGGGAAGAAGCGAAAGUGACGGUACCUGCAGAAAAAGCACCGGCUAACUACGUGCCAGCAGCCGCGGUAAUACGUAGGGUGCAAGCGUUAUCCGGAAUUAUUGGGCGUAAAGAGCUCGUAGGCGGUUUGUCACGUCUGCUGUGAAAACUGGAGGCUCAACCUCCAGCCUGCAGUGGGUACGGGCAGACUAGAGUGCGGUAGGGGAGAUUGGAAUUCCUGGUGUAGCGGUGGAAUGCGCAGAUAUCAGGAGGAACACCGAUGGCGAAGGCAGAUCUCUGGGCCGUAACUGACGCUGAGGAGCGAAAGCAUGGGGAGCGAACAGGAUUAGAUACCCUGGUAGUCCAUGCCGUAAACGUUGGGAACUAGAUGUAGGGACCAUUCCACGGUUUCUGUGUCGCAGCUAACGCAUUAAGUUCCCCGCCUGGGGAGUACGGCCGCAAGGCUAAAACUCAAAGGAAUUGACGGCUGAGAGNGCGAGACGACACGAGGGAGAGG